This 71-nucleotide transfer RNA is filed under the name Perca flavescens (yellow perch). It matches the Rfam family "tRNA". From Rfam's summary of the family: Transfer RNA (tRNA) molecules are approximately 80 nucleotides in length. Their secondary structure includes four short double-helical elements and three loops (D, anti-codon, and T loops). Further hydrogen bonds mediate the characteristic L-shaped molecular structure. tRNAs have two regions of fundamental functional importance: the anti-codon, which is responsible for specific mRNA codon recognition, and the 3' end, to which the tRNAs corresponding amino acid is attached (by aminoacyl-tRNA synthetases). tRNAs cope with the degeneracy of the genetic code in two manners: having more than one tRNA (with a specific anti-codon) for a particular amino acid; and 'wobble' base-pairing, i.e. permitting non-standard base-pairing at the 3rd anti-codon position. Lineage: Eukaryota; Metazoa; Chordata; Actinopteri; Perciformes; Percidae. The record is from Rfam by way of RNAcentral.
GGGGAUGUAGCUCAGUGGUAGAGCGCAUGCUUUGCAUGUAUGAGGACCCGCGUUCAAUCCCGGUAUCUCCA